GUGAGGAAUAUUGCGCAAUGGAGGCAACUCUGACGCAGCCAUGCCGCGUGCAGGAAGAAGGCGCUACGCGUUGUAAACUGCUUUUAACCGGGAAGAAACCCCAGGACGUGUCCUGGGUUGACGGUACCGGAGGAAUAAGCACCGGCUAACUUCGUGCCAGCAGCCGCGGUAAUACGAAGGGUGCAAGCGUUAUCCGGAUUCAUUGGGUUUAAAGGGUGCGUAGGCGGAGCGUUAAGUCAGUGGUGAAAUCCUGCAGCUUAACUGUAGACUUGCCAUUGAUACUGGCGCGCUUGAGUGCGCUUGAAGUGGGCGGAAUGUGCCGUGUAGCGGUGAAAUGCUUAGAUAUGGCACAGAACACCAAUUGCGAAGGCAGCUCACUAAGGCGAUACUGACGCUGAGGCACGAAAGCGUGGGGAUCGAACAGGAUUAGAUACCCGUGUAGUCC
Molecule: ribosomal RNA, 445 nt
Filed under: uncultured bacterium
Lineage: Bacteria
Description: bacterial SSU rRNA
Rfam family: Bacterial small subunit ribosomal RNA
Source: RNAcentral